GAUGAACGCUGGCGGCGUGCUUAACACAUGCAAGUCGAACGGACUUUACAUGAAGCCUAGCGAUUGUAAAGUUAGUGGCGGACGGGUGAGUAACGCGUGAAUAACCUGCCUUAUACUGGGGGACAACAGUUGGAAACGACUGCUAAUACCGCAUAAGCGCACGGAGCUGCAUGGCUCAGUGUGAAAAACUCCGGUGGUAUAAGAUGGACCCGCGUCUGAUUAGCUAGUUGGUAAGGUAACGGCUUACCAAGGCGACGAUCAGUAGCCGGCCUGAGAGGGUGAACGGCCACAUUGGGACUGAGACACGGCCCAAACUCCUACGGGAGGCAGCAGUGGGGAAUAUUGGGCAAUGGGGGAAACCCUGACCCAGCAACGCCGCGUGAAGGAAGAAGGCCUUCGGGUUGUAAACUUCUUUUAGCAGGGACGAAUACGUGACGGUACCUGCAGAAAAAGCAACGGCUAACUACGUG
RNAcentral lists this ribosomal RNA (470 nucleotides) under uncultured bacterium. Its description in RNAcentral is "bacterial SSU rRNA". It matches the Rfam family "Bacterial small subunit ribosomal RNA", at positions 28 to 507 of the family's 1533-position model. The record is from RNAcentral.